Molecule: ribosomal RNA, 253 nt
Filed under: uncultured bacterium
Lineage: Bacteria
Description: partial 16S ribosomal RNA
Rfam family: Bacterial small subunit ribosomal RNA
Source: RNAcentral
UACGUAGGGUGCAAGCGUUGUCCGGAAUUAUUGGGCGUAAAGAGCUCGUAGGCGGUUUGUUGCGUCGGCUGUGAAAUCCCGAGGCUCAACCUCGGGUCUGCAGUCGAUACGAGCAAACUAGAGUGUUGCAGGGGAGACUGGAAUUCCUGGUGUAGCGGUGAAAUGCGUAGAGAUCCGGAGGAACACCAGAGGCGAAGGCGGCCUGCUGGGCUGCACCUGACGCUGAACCGCGAAAGCCAGGGGAGCAAACAGG